RNAcentral lists this ribosomal RNA (530 nucleotides) under Trichoderma gamsii. Its description in RNAcentral is "eukaryotic LSU rRNA". The stretch from base 156 to 309 matches the Rfam family "5.8S ribosomal RNA". The record is from RNAcentral. Lineage: Eukaryota; Fungi; Ascomycota; Sordariomycetes; Hypocreales; Hypocreaceae.
ACCAUACCAAACUGUUGCCUCGGCGGGGUCACGCCCCGGGUGCGUCGCAGCCCCGGAACCAGGCGCCCGCCGGAGGGACCAACCAAACUCUUUUCUGUAGUCCCCUCGCGGACGUUAUUUCUUACAGCUCUGAGCAAAAAUUCAAAAUGAAUCAAAACUUUCAACAACGGAUCUCUUGGUUCUGGCAUCGAUGAAGAACGCAGCGAAAUGCGAUAAGUAAUGUGAAUUGCAGAAUUCAGUGAAUCAUCGAAUCUUUGAACGCACAUUGCGCCCGCCAGUAUUCUGGCGGGCAUGCCUGUCCGAGCGUCAUUUCAACCCUCGAACCCCUCCGGGGGGUCGGCGUUGGGGAUCGGGAACCCCUAAGACGGGAUCCCGGCCCCGAAAUACAGUGGCGGUCUCGCCGCAGCCUCUCCUGCGCAGUAGUUUGCACAACUCGCACCGGGAGCGCGGCGCGUCCACGUCCGUAAAACACCCAACUUCUGAAAUGUUGACCUCGGAUCAGGUAGGAAUACCCGCUGAACUUAAGCAUA